RNAcentral lists this ribosomal RNA (254 nucleotides) under uncultured bacterium. RNAcentral's name for it is "partial 16S ribosomal RNA". It matches the Rfam family "Bacterial small subunit ribosomal RNA", at positions 524 to 776 of the family's 1533-position model. The record is from RNAcentral.
UACGUAGGGUGCAAGCGUUGUCCGGAAUUAUUGGGCGUAAAGAGCUCGUAGGCGGUGUGUCGCGUCGGCCGUGAAAACCUGCAGCUUAACUGUGGGCGUGCGGUCGAUACGGGCAUCACUGGAGUUCGGCAGGGGAGACUGGAAUUCCUGGUGUAGCGGUGAAAUGCGUAGAUAUCAAGAGGAACACCAGUGGCGAAGGCGAGUCCCUGGACAACACCCGACACUGAGGCACGAAAGCUAGGGGAGCAAACAGG